This 164-nucleotide ribosomal RNA is filed under the name Aglaia puberulanthera. Its description in RNAcentral is "5.8S ribosomal RNA". It matches the Rfam family "5.8S ribosomal RNA". From Rfam's summary of the family: 5.8S ribosomal RNA (5.8S rRNA) is a component of the large subunit of the eukaryotic ribosome. It is transcribed by RNA polymerase I as part of the 45S precursor that also contains 18S and 28S rRNA. The record is from RNAcentral. Lineage: Eukaryota; Viridiplantae; Streptophyta; Magnoliopsida; Sapindales; Meliaceae.
AAUAUGACUCUCGGCAACGGAUAUCUCGGCUCUCGCAUCGAUGAAGAACGUAGCGAAAUGCGAUACUUGGUGUGAAUUGCAGAAUCCCGUGAACCAUCGAGUCUUUGAACGCAAGUUGCGCCCCAAGCCGUUAGGCCGAGGGCACGUCUGCCUGGGUGUCACAC